Molecule: long non-coding RNA, 923 nt
Organism: Cherax quadricarinatus
Lineage: Eukaryota; Metazoa; Arthropoda; Malacostraca; Decapoda; Parastacidae
Source: RefSeq, a predicted model, not a curated record
CAUGCAGGGGAUGAGAUGAAAAGCUGUAAGCCUUCUCCCUGAAAGCUGGCUGCCUUGGAUCAAACGUGUAGCGCUAGCUACACGCCAAGGUAUUGUCCAGUGUGGGUAGAUUGGUAAAGCACUGCGUACCUUGUCCCAAGGUUCGUAGGUUCGAGUCUCCUUCAGCCAGAGAUCAGUGUUUGUAUAUAUUUAUAAAUUUAUAACGCUAGCAAGAUUUUUGCACAUAAGUAGAAAAGACUACUGAUUUAUUUACAUUAUUGCAAAAUAACUGAGGUGGAAGACGCACGCGAUGCGUGGCGCACUAGUUUUAUCACAUGCUCGCACCUGCAAACUCACACACACACACGAUAAAGCUCACAGAGCAGGGAGGAGAGAGCGGACCUAGUAGCGACCAGGGAAGAGGCGGGGGCCAGGAGCUGUGAAGCGACCCCUACAACCACAAACAGGGAUGCACUCGGCCGUUAGCUGCAUGGAGAUGAACUAUGACGGAGAGGGCCCUUAUGCCUUAACGUCGUAGAGGAGAGUUUCGCCUGAUUCGCUGCUGCCGUGUCCCUCCGAGAAGAGGAUGUCUGAUCUAUCGCCCGUGUAUCAGACUCGGGUUGAUUAUGAAGGAUCUUCCUACACCCGAGAACUGGGUGUGAGACUGGGUCUGAAAGUGGCCCCGAGACUGGGUCCGAGCCCAGACUCUACUGAGAGGCGGAUGGAUGGAUGGUCUGGCUACUGAAUAUUGCAGGCAGCAUGCCAACGUACAAUUGACAGCUGGGUUGAUGUGGUAUUUCCAGAUGAAACUUCUCCACGUGUCUCUCUCGUUGAGAGCUCCCAUCCGGCAAGUAAAUGAUAUACCUUUACCUCCACUAUACCUCCAACUGCACAUUUGUAAUUUACCUCGUCUCAGAACACUAAUAAAAUGUGUAUACACUUUA